GCUCCACCGGCCCCCGCCGCGGCCGGCCGCGGGCUCCACAGCGGCGCCGGCGGACGCGGGGGCGGCGGCGGCGGCUCCGGCCGCCC
RNAcentral lists this microRNA precursor (86 nucleotides) under Dasypus novemcinctus (nine-banded armadillo). RNAcentral's name for it is "miRNA (ENSDNOG00000048062.1)". The record is from RNAcentral. Lineage: Eukaryota; Metazoa; Chordata; Mammalia; Cingulata; Dasypodidae.